This 253-nucleotide ribosomal RNA is filed under the name uncultured bacterium. RNAcentral's name for it is "partial 16S ribosomal RNA". It matches the Rfam family "Bacterial small subunit ribosomal RNA", at positions 524 to 776 of the family's 1533-position model. The record is from RNAcentral.
UACAGAGGGGGCGAGCGUUAUUCGGAAUUAUUGGGCGUAAAGCGCGCGCAGGCGGUCUCUUAAGUCUGAUGUGAAAGCCCCCGGCUCAACCGGGGAGGGUCAUUGGAAACUGGGAGACUUGAGUGCAGAAGAGAAGAGUGGAAUUCCACGUGUAGCGGUGAAAUGCGUAGAGAUGUGGAGGAACACCAGUGGCGAAGGCGACUCUUUGGUCUGUAACUGACGCUGAGGCGCGAAAGCGUGGGGAGCAAACAGG